GAAAAUUAUCAUCAGAUCUGAGUUCUUUAUGUUCAAUUGGACUCACUGAACAGUAGUAUAGUGGUGAAGGUGUUAAAAGGCCCACAGUGCCUGAACAGAGCUGGCCUUGCCUCAA
RNAcentral lists this long non-coding RNA (115 nucleotides) under Dasypus novemcinctus (nine-banded armadillo). Its description in RNAcentral is "lncRNA (ENSDNOG00000051215.1)". The record is from RNAcentral. Lineage: Eukaryota; Metazoa; Chordata; Mammalia; Cingulata; Dasypodidae.